Molecule: ribosomal RNA, 460 nt
Filed under: uncultured bacterium
Lineage: Bacteria
Description: partial 16S ribosomal RNA
Rfam family: Bacterial small subunit ribosomal RNA
Source: RNAcentral
CCUACGGGUGGCUGCAGUGAGGAAUAUUGGUCAAUGGUCGGGAGACUGAACCAGCCAAGCCGCGUGAGGGAUGAAGGUACAGAGUAUCGUACACCUCUUUAGGCGGGGAGCAAAGCCGGGCACGUGUGCCCGGAGGGAGAGUACCCGCAGAAUAAGCAUCGGCUAACUCCGUGCCAGCAGCAGCGGUAAUACGGAGGAUGCGAGCGUUAUCCGGAUUUAUUGGGUUUAAAGGGUGCGUAGGCGGAUUUUUAAGUCAGCGGUAAAAUGUCCGGGCUCAACCCGGGCCGGCCGUUGAAACUGGGGAUCUUGAGUGGGCGAGAAGUAUGCGGAAUGCGUGGUGUAGCGGUGAAAUGCAUAGAUAUCACGCAGAACUCCGAUUGCGAAGGCAGCAUACCGGCGCCCGACUGACGCUGAGGCACGAAAGCGUGGGGAUCGAACAGGAUUAGAUACCCCAGUAGUC